Molecule: ribosomal RNA, 253 nt
Filed under: uncultured bacterium
Lineage: Bacteria
Description: partial 16S ribosomal RNA
Rfam family: Bacterial small subunit ribosomal RNA
Source: RNAcentral
GACAGAGGGUGCAAGCGUUGUUCGGAAUUACUGGGCGUAAAGCGCGUGUAGGCUGCUCGGAAAGUCGGAUGUGAAAGCCCUGGGCUCAACCUAGGAAGUGCAUUCGAAACUUCCGAGCUGGAGUGCUGGAGAGGAAGGCGGAAUUCUCGGUGUAGAGGUGAAAUUCGUAGGUAUCGAGAGGAACACCGGUGGCGAAGGCGGCCUUCUGGACAGCCACUGACGCUGAGACGCGAAAGCGUGGGGAGCAAACAGG